CCGGUAAAAAACUUACCCCUACGCGAGGGAGUAGAGUAAAAGCGUUGAGAGAAUAACCUCCUAAUUUAUUCUAGAACAAAGUACAUUUAUACGAUAUGUUGUUCCUCUAUAAUACUUAGACAAAUAAAGAAAAGUUUAUUUACAUAUAGUCUUCCAAUAUUACACAAAACAUUGGACUCAGAGGCGAAUUUAGGAUUUGUAAUACGUGGGUGAAGGAAAAAGUGUAUAUUUAGCACUCUUAUUCUAAUAACACAUGCAAAAUGAGUAUUUAAAGUAGUACCUAAUUAUGUUAGCACUCUUUGAUUAUGCAUAUACAAGGAUCUAACUAAAGUAGUACUUAUCGAAAUACUAAUAAUAAUAUCAGCAAACGAACUUUCUCUGUGCUUCCAGCAUAUCAGUCUUAGGUCUUAACUCAUGGACCAUAUUCUUAAACUCCUCGCGAUGUUCUUUAGUUUGGUAACAUGCUACAAUGAUAAUCAUAUCGAUCAUAGUUCAACUGAUAAUGCCACCAACACUACCUUCAUAUCCAACCGUCAGAGCAUUCUGCAUGAGAACUGCAUUUUCUCCCACAAGUCUCCUCUUCAUUUGGAUUUAAUUUCAAUUUCAUCAUUGAUAUAGAUAGCGGCAAGCCUCCCAUCGCCAUCAUUGAGUUUCGAGACAAAUCAAUUGUGCGCGUGCAUAAAAAUUUCGAUUAUAACCAACAUCAAGAUAAUUCUCAUAUAUAUACACAUUUCUAUGCAAUUUUUUUCUUAUGUAUAAAGCUAAAACCUAAGAGAACCACACACAAACAAAAGGGAAAAGCAAGUCAUUACCAGCAGUUUAUGUAAGNNNNNNNNNNNNNNNNNNNNNNNNNNNNNNNNNNNNNNNNNNNNNNNNNNNNNNNNNNNNNNNNNNNNNNNNNNNNNNNNNNNNNNNNNNNNNNNNNNNNNNNNNNNNNNNNNNNNNNNNNNNNNNNNNNNNNNNNNNNNNNNNNNNNNNNNNNNNNNNNNNNNNNNNNNNNNNNNNNNNNNNNNNNNNNNNNNNNNNNNNNNNNNNNNNNNNNNNNNNNNNNNNNNNNNNNNNNNNNNNNNNNNNNNNNNNNNNNNNNNNNNNNNNNNNNNNNNNNNNNNNNNNNNNNNNNNNNNNNNNNNNNNNNNNNNNNNNNNNNNNNNNNNNNNNNNNNNNNNNNNNNNNNNNNNNNNNNNNNNNNNNNNNNNNNNNNNNNNNNNNNNNNNNNNNNNNNNNNNNNNNNNNNNNNNNNNNNNNNNNNNNNNNNNNNNNNNNNNNNNNNNNNNNNNNNNNNNNNNNNNNNNNNNNNNNNNNNNNNNNNNNNNNNNNNNNNNNNNNNNNNNNNNNNNNNNNNNNNNNNNNNNNNNNNNNNNNNNUAUAAUAUGCUGGAAUCCAGUAUAUUACAUUGGAGUUUCAGCAAAGUAUACUGGAACUCCAGUAUAUUAUACUGGAAUUUCAAUAAAUUAUGCUGGAGUAUUUUUCGGAUUCUGAACAGUAUUUUCGUUCAAAUUUAUCUUUACAUGAACAGUGGCUAAACUUCGAUUACUUUUGAAAUUGUGUCUAUUUUUGAAUGACCACUUAUAAAUCUGGCUAUUUUUGAAUUUUUCCCUAUUUUCAUCGGUUAAUGUUGGACUUAAGCUAUGUCAUAUUUUUAUUGGUUAAUUUUUCCACUCGUAUUAUCAACUUAUUUUAGUGGAAAAAGAACUGGAUUCCCCUAAUUAAAAAUUAUUCUUAGGUCCUUGGAACAAAGAAUAGUUGAAAAAAAAGAGAUUCUUAAAUGAUAAAAGCAUUUCUAUAUAACUUCAUCAAUGACAUAAGGAAGUGACCUCAUUGCAAGUGCAAAUCAAAACCAAACGAACUUUUGGUUAAAAUGUUUUUCAUUCAUUAAGUGGAGCUAAAGAGUUCGGGCCAAGAAAUAGGAGUUGAAUCUGAAACUAAGGGGCAUUUCUAUAUUAUAAAUUUGUCGUAAAUAAAUGGUUUUACAAAGAAUUUAGUGAAUGAUUUACUAUAUCAUGUUUCCACUUCACUUCGUUUUCACUUUCAUAUCAAGAACUUCUUGUAAUAUCGAAUUUUACACUCUGUAUUUUGUAUACGGGUUCCGGUUUCCGAUAAAAUAAAUCGAGUAUGGGACAUGAUGGCAAGGAGCCGGAAUCGAGAUGAGAGAGUCAUCGAGACAAGUUUCGAGGUACACGCUUGCCCUCGAAAAUAUCGGGGUCGUGACCCCGGAUCGGUCUAAAUCCCAAAAGACUUCGAGGACAUUAUCGGGCAAUCGAACACGAUUAACAGAAGGCCGUAAUAUCCGUGACCGGCCGAAUAUCACGGCGUGGAUCUUGGCACAUAUCGAUAGAAAAUCGGUGAUUAUUUAAAUAGAAGAUUUUUUACCUUUUAUAUAAUUUUACUUAGGAUAAAACUGCACUACUAUAUAAAGGGGAGUCUGAUUAUUCAUCGAACAUAUUGUAAUAUGCAUACCAAUGCGAUACACUAUUAUUUUUCUGUUAGUCAAAGCUCUUAUGUUUGUUGAUCAGUGUUUUAUUAUUAUAAGCCUGGGAUCGAGGACGAAUACCUAAUUGAGGUUUCCCUCGAGUCCGGAAUCGUCUCCCCCUUUAUUUUCAAGCAGUUUGAUAAUUUAUUACAUCUCUUAUCUGUUUAUCCUAGCAAUCAUUACUGUUUGUGUUAAAUAACGUAUUCUUAAAACUACUUAUAAAUUUAAUUUUUAUCCAUUUUUUAGGAUAAACGGUUUGGCGCACACCAUGGGAAUAAGAAUAGCAGUGGCAAUUUGAUACAAAUUUUCAUAACACACCCUAUUUAACACUUGUUCUUUGAAGUGUCUUUAAUUUAAGGUAAAAGUUUAAAUUGUCGAACUCCCAAUCUGCCCCUCUAAACAUGGAUGCUGAGUCCGGCCACCAUGGCGAGAACAAUAAUAUGGUACCUAGUAACGAGGUGCCCCCUGCCGAUCCCUACAGAGUCCUGGCCGCGGACCCGAUAACGAGGUACAUACUCACAUGCGGCCAUCAAUGUGAAUUUGCCUGCUGAUCCUGAGAACAACGUCCGUGGGGGAGUCUGAUACGUAGCCCAAAAUACAUAUGACGAUGAAGGAGAUGGGAUCAACUUGCAGGUAAUCUUCGAAAUGCUACAGGCUCAACAGACAUCGAUAGCUCAAUUACAGAACCAAAGCCGCACUCCCAGUAGAGUUGAGCCCGAACCAUACCAGGAAAACACUCGUUGAAAUGAACCAGCCACAAAGAGGCCAAGUGAAGCUGAAUUCGGGACCAGCCCUAAGAUAAUAAGAUGUUCGAGGAAUUGACAAAACAGGUAAAAAUGGGAGAAAAGAACAUCGAAGCUAACGACAAAAAGGUGGAGACCUACAACUCUAGGGUCGACCAAAUUCCAGGAGCAUCGCUGACACUGAAAGGCCUAGAUUCCAAAAUGUCUGUUCAAAAAUCUUUCCCUCUAAGCAACUCAGAAGCUGAUCCCAAAAAAGUUUUGCAUGCCCGAAAAUUCCUAAGUACAACGGAACAAUUGACUCAAAUGAACAUGUGACCUCCUACACAUGCGCCAUCAAGAGGAAUGACUUGGAUGAUGAUGAGAUCAAAUCUGUCCUAUUGAAAAUAAGUUGAGAGACCUUGUCAAAAGGAGCUAUGAUAUGGUAUCACAACUUACCCCCCCCCCCCCAAUUCUAUUGACUCAUUUGCUAUGCUUGCAGAUGCUUUUGUAAAAGCGCACGAUGGAGCCAUCAAGGUCGAGACAAGGAAGUCAGACCUUUGUAAGGUAAAGCAAAGAGAUAACAAGAUUCUUAGGGAGUUCUUGUAAAGAAUUCAAAUGGAACAGAUGGACCUGCCACCAGUGGCAGACAGUUGGGCCAUUUAGGCCUUCACCCAAGGACUCAAUACUCGAAGCUCAUUGGCUUUGCAACAGUUGAAGCAAAAUCUGAUAGAAUAUCCGACUGUAACUUGGGCAGAUGUGAAUAACCGGUAUCAAUCAAAAAUUAGGGUCGAAGAUGCUUGGGGCCCCUUCCGGGUCCGCUUAUCCCAUCAAAGCUAGUGACAGAUCCAAAAGAGAUAUUGAUCAUUAACCAAGAUCAAAUAGAGAUCGGUAUCAACCACACAACGGUGAUCAAAGGGGUAAUGGGUCUGGACGAAACCCUGUGAGAAGUGAAAGCAGAAGUGAUCGAGGUCAAAUUAACUGGGGACUCAUGAGCAAAAGAAAUUUCGACAGGCCCAUCGGACCUAAGGAAGGGUCAAGGUUAUCAGAGUAUAACUUCCAUGUCGAUGAUGCUGCUAUCGUAUCUGCCAUCGGACACAAAAAAGACACUAAGUGGACUCGACCUUUACAGUCCGAUCCUGCUCAAAUGGACCCCAACCUAAUAUGUAAGUAUCAUGGUACUCACAGCCAUAGAACUGAAGAUUGCCGACAACUGAGAUAAGAAGUAUCCCGGUUAUUAAACAACGGACACCUCCGAGAGUUCCUGAGAGAUCGAGCCAAAAGUCAUUUUAGGAAUAGAGACUCCAAUAAGCAUAUCGAGCAGGAGGAAUCUCAUCACGUCAUUAACAUGAUCAUCGGUGGAGCCGACGUCCCCCAGGGACUAAUGUUAAAGCGCACCAAAGUGUCCAUCAUAAGGAAAAAACAGACUUGAGAUUACAUGCCAAAGGAAAUCGUAUCCUUUAACGAUGAUAAUGUUGAAGACAUCAUGCAAUCACUCAAUGAUGCAUUAGUAAUAUCUGUACUUAUAAAUAAAUCUCGAGUUAAGCGUGUGUUAAUUGAUCCACGAAGCUCGGCCAAUGUCAUCCGAUCGAGGGUCAUAGAUCAGUUGGGUCUACAAGACCAAAUUGUGCCUGCAGUCCGAGUUUUAAACGGAUUCAACAUUACAUGUGAGAUCACUAAAGGGGAGAUAACCUUGCAGGUGACCACCGUCGGAACCAUUCAGGAAAUAAAGUUCUACGUGAUCGAAGGAGAUAUGAGAUACAAUGCUCUAUUUGGGAGGCCUUGGAUUCACAAUAUGAGGGCAGUUCCCUCGACACUAUACCAGGAGUUGCAAUACCCAACUUCAGGAGAGGUUAAAACUAUUUACGAAGAACAACCGACCGCAAAGGAGAUGCUCGCGGUCGAUAAGGUGGUCUCAAUAUUUUCACUCUCGACACCAAAUAAUCUAAUUUUGAUCACUAAGGAAGAAACCAAUAACAAUUACCGAUGUCGGGUCCCAGCCGAGCCGGACAAGUAGGGGACGGGAGAGGAUGACGACUACGGUGUUCCCAGGUCUUUCAUAGCCCCCAAUAAUUUGGAUGCCACCAAAUCGAUGAUUGAGGAACUGGAACUAGUCAUAUUGGUCGAGCACCUACCCGAUUGUAAGGUAUACCUGGGCACGGGGUUAAGUCCCGAGCUUAGGAAAAAACACAUUAAAUUCCUUAUAGCUAACAUAAAUUGUUUCGCUUGGUCCCACCUUGACAUGAUAGGGAUCCCGUCGGAAAUAACUACUCACAAGCUAAGCCUGGAUCCAAAGUUCCACUCGGACAAACCGAAAGUGAGGCCUCAGUCCGACGUCAAGCAUGCACUCAUCAAAGAUGAGGUAUCUAAAAUCCUUAAAAUAGGAUCCAUUCGGGAAGGUAAAUACCCAGCUUGGUUAGAAAACGUAGUUGUAGUCCCUAAAAAUUGAAAUAAAUUAAGAAUGUGUGUGGACUACAAAGACUUAUACAAGGCAUGCCACCAAGUAAUGUUUUCCUUUGCCUAACAUCGAUCGCAUAAUCUAUGCUACCCAAUACUAAUUAACAGUUAUUUAAUUCAAUUUAAGUCAUUAAUAAGUGAUAAAUCCCAAAAUAAAGUGAAAUAGAACAAGUGCGGAAAUAAACCAAGCCCGACAUCGGGGUGUCACCAGUCAUGAGCAUCUAACAUAAGUCUAAGAGUAUGGAAAAGGACUACAUAGUCUAUUACAGAAUCCAGUAAAAGGGAAAAUAAAGAUAGGAGGGAGAAACACUGGGCUACGAAUGCUGAGCAGCUACCUAGUGCACUCUGAAUAGCCCGCUAGAAGCAGUCAGCCCUCGCUAGCAGGACCGAGGCUCCUGUAUCUGCACGCAGGGUGCAGGGAGUAAUGUGAGUACGCCAACUCAGUGAGUAAUAAAAGUAAAGGCAGCUGAGCGAUACGAAAACACGUAAAACACAACGAAAUGCUACAAAGAGGCAGUAUGAAAUCAAUACAAUGCAAUAGAAUAGUGAAAACUUGUAAAAACGCCUCAGUUCAGUAAAAACCUCUUUAAAACAUCUUUUAACAGUUAAACAAGUGAAUGAAAGAAGCGAGAAAAGAUAAACACAUAAAAUCAGCCCCUCGGGCACAAUAUCAAUAGAAAUCUGCCCCUUGGGCAAUAACAUGGAACAACACCAGCCCUUCAAGCUAUAUCACUUAUCACACUAGGUACCCGAGCUCACUGGGGGUGUACAGACUCCGGGAGGGGCCCCUUACGGCCCAAGCGCAAUAAAAAGCCAUCUCAUGGCAUAAUCAACAGGCUUUCGGUCUCAUAUCAAGCUACCUUGUGGCGUAUAACUCAGGCCCUCGGCCUCAAAAUCAUGAAUCAGUAUAAUAGUGUUGCGGCGCACAGCCCAAUCCCAUAAUAUCCUCACAAUAUAGGCCCUCAGCCUUACUCAGUCAGAAUAUCACAAGCCACUCGGACAACAGUAAAACAUGAUGCUCAGCCCAAAAAUAUCAUUUAAAAUUUUAAAAACGAGUAAAGAUGGCUGAGUUGUGAAAUAGUAGAAUAUAGCAUGACUGAGUACAACUACGAAGACAAAAUAGUGAGGUAUAGUAUUAAAAAUCCCCUAAGGGUCCAAAUAGUUGGCACGAGACCCAGAUAUGGCAUUCAACCCAAAACAAGAUGAUAACAAAUAGUUUUCAAUCAAAUACGCAGUUAAACAGUCAUACGGGAUAGACUAAGUCACAAUACCAAUGGUGUACGACCCCACGCUCGUCAUCUAGCAUGUGUGUCACCUCAAAAUAGUACAAUAAUGUGAAAUUCGGGGUUUUAAACCCUCAGAACAACAUUUAAAAUCAUUACCAACCUCUAUCCGGUCCAAACUCUAUCCCGCGAUGCCUUUGUCUCUCGAAUCGGCCUCCGUAUGCUCCAAAUCUAACCAAAAUCAGAACAUAACCAUCAAAAUAUGCUAAGAGAACAAAGCCCACUCGAAGGAAAUCAAAUUACAACACCAAUCCCGAUAUUAACCAAAACCCGACCCCCAGACCCACAUAUCAAAAUCUGAUAAAAAUUACAUCAAUAAACUCAUUAUCCUCCCACGAGUUUAUCCAUAUCAAAAGUACCAAAAUCCGAUCACAAAUGACCCCUCAAACCCUUACUCAAAGGUCUCCAAUUACAAGCCCUAGUUCUUCAAUAUUUAGGCUUAAAUUCAAUAAAUUUCAUGAUUAAUUAGGUAGAAACCACAUUAGGAUUGAGUAUUAAGUCCAUAAAUAUUACCUCCAAGUGUUCCCCCUUGAUUCCCUCUUCAAUCCUCUUCAAAAAGCUUUAAAAUCGCUCAAAAAUGGUGGAACUUAAGCUUAACAUCGCGGAUAUGGCCUUUUGAAUCAUUCUGCCUAGCUAUUCAAAAACCUCCUUCAUGAACGCGGACAACGCCUCGCGUUCGCGAAGCACAAACUUAAGUUGACCAGAAUUCCUCAUACAUGAACGCGGCGACCCCUCGCGAACACUAUGCCUCAGCAACUCAAACCAUCGUGAACGCGUCUGCUCUCUCGCGAACGCAAAGCUUCCUGACUCCAACCUUUCGCCAACGCGGGACCUACAUCGCAAAUGCAAAGGCCAAACCUCCAGAAUCAACUCCUAAGCCUUCACGAACGCAAGGGCCCACUCGCGAACUCGAAGGCCAAAAGUCUGCAACACUCACAUCAUAUUUUCUGCAAUUUUUCUCAACUUGAAAUAAUCAGUUUAACCACCCAAAACUCACCCGAGGCCCUCGGGACCUCAACCAAACAUGCCAGCAUAUCCCAUAACAUCAUUCAAACUUGUUCCAACCUUCGGAACACUCAAAACAACAUCAAAAUACCAAAUUUGCAUUGGAUUCAAGCCUAAGAAUUCCAAAAACUUCCAAAUUCCGCUUUCGAUCAAAAAGUCUAUCAAACCACGUCUGAAUGACCUAAAAUUUUGCACACACAUCCCAAAUGACACAACAGACCUACUGUAACUCCCGAAAUUCCAUUCCGACCCCUAUAUCAAAAUCUCACCUACCAACCGAAAAAUACCAAAAUUUCAAUUUAAAUCUACUCCGUACCUCUAAAACACAUUCCGAUCACGCUCCUAAGUCCCAAAUCACCUUCCGAAGCUAUCCGAACUCACAUCCAAGCCCUUUACCAGAUAAGUCAAUAUCCGGUUGACUUUUCCAACUUAAGCUUACUCAAAAGAAACUAAGUGUCUCAAACCUUACCAAAACCUCUCCGAACCCCAACCAAUCAACCCGAUAACAUAAAAUACAGCUAAACAAGACAAUAAGAAGCAGAAAUGGGGGAAACAGAGAGGUAACUCAUAAAACGACCGGCCGGGUCGUUACAUCCUCCCCCUUUUAAACAAAAGUUCGUCCUCGAACGAGUCAAGAAACAUACCUGAAGCCUCAAAUAGGUGAGGAUAUCUACUCCGCAUCUCCUGCUCUAUCUCCCAGGUAGCCUCCUCCACGGGCCGACCUCUCCACUGCACUUUCACUAAAGCUAUAUCCUUUCACCUCAACUUUCGAACCUGACACUCCAAAAUUGCUACUGGAUCCACAUCUUAAGUCAAAUCAUCAUCUAACUAAACCGUGAUGGAAUCCAAAACAUGAGACAGAUCACCAAUAUACUUCCGGAGCAUAGAAACAUGAAAUACCAUAUGUACACUCGACAAGCUGGGUGGCAAAGCAAGCUCAUAAGCCACCUCCCCGAUCCUCUGAAGCACCUCAAAAGGCCCAAUGAACCGAGGAAUCAAUUUACCCUUCUUCCCAAAUCUCAUAACACCCUUCAUGGGUGAAACCUUCAACAGAACCUUCUCAUUAACCAUGUAGGACACAUCCCGAACCUUCCUGUUAGCAUAACUUAUUUGUCUCGACUACACUGUACGAAGCCUCUUCUGAAUCACCUUCACCUUGUCUAAAGCAUCCUGCACCAAGUCUGUACCCAAUAGCCUAGCCUCACCCCGCUCAAAUCAACCAACUGGAGAUGUACACCGCCUCUCAUACAAAGCCUCAUAUGGAGCCAUAUGAAUACUCGACUAGUAACUGUUGUUAUAAGCAAACUCUGCGAGCAGUAAAAACUGAUCCCAUGACCCUCCAAAAUCAAUGACACAAGAACGCAACAUGUCCUCCAAUAUCUGAAUAGUGUGCUCGGACUGCCCGUCCGUCUGAGGGUGAAAAGUUGUGCUCAACUCAACUUGAGUACCCAACUCUGGAUGCACAGACCUCAAAAACUGCGAAGUAAACUGAGUGCCCUUAUCUGAAAUGACGGAAACUGGGACACCAUGCAAACGAAAAAUCUCCCAGAUAUAGAUCUCCACCAACCGCUCUGAAGAAUAGGUAGUACACACAGGAAUGAAGUGCGCGGACUUGGUAAACCGAUCCACAAUCACCCAAAUAGAAUCGAACUUCUUCAAAGUCUGUGGGAACCCAUCUACAAAGUCCAUGGUGAUCCGCUCCCACUUCCACUCUGGAAUAUCCAUAUGUUGAAGCAAGCCACUUGGUCUCUGAUGCUCAUAUUUCACCUGCUGAAAAUUGAGACACCGAGCUACAAAUCCCAUAAUGUCCUUCUUCAUUCUCCUCCACCAAUAAUGUUGUCUCAGGUCCUGAUACAUCUUUGCGGCACCCGAAUGAAUGGAAUACAAUGAGCUAUGGGACUCAUCCAGAAUCAACUUCCGAAGCCCAUCUACACUGGGCACACAUAUCCGUCCAUGCAUCCUCAAUACCCCAUCAUCACCAAUAGUCACAUUUCUGGCAUCAUCGUGCUGAACUCUGCCCUUAAGGACAAGCAAAUGAGGAUCAUCAUACUGGCGCUCUCUGAUGCGAUCAUAUAAGAAAGACCAAGAAAUCACACAAGCCAAUACCCGACUGGACUCCGAAAUAUGCAACCUCACGAACCGAUUGGCCAAGGCCUGCACAUCAACUACAAGAGGUCUCUCCCCAAUUGGAAUAUAUGCCAAACUCCCCAUAUUCACCGCCUUCCUACUUAAGGCAUCGACCACCAUAGUAGCCUUCCCCGGAUGGUACAAAAUAGUAAUAUCAUAAUCCUUUAGCAACUCCAACCAUCUUCGCUGCCCCAAAUUGAAAUCCUUAUGCUUGAACAAGUGCUGGAGGCUACGAUAAUCAGUAAACACCCCACAAGAUACACCAUACAAAUAAUGCUUCCAAAUCUUCAACACGUGAAUCAUGGCAGCUAACACCAAAUCAUGAACAGGGUAGUUCUUCUCAUGGGGCUUCAACUGACGAGAAGCAUAAGCAAUAACUCUACUCUUCUGCAUCAAUAUACACCCAAUACCAACUCUCAAAGCAUCACAAUACACGGUAUAUGAACCUGAAGGUGAUGGCAAAACUAACACUGGAGUCGUGGUCAAGGCAGUCUUGAGCUUCUAAAAGCUCUCCUCACACUCACCCGACCACCUGAAUAGAGAACCCUUUUGAGUCAACUUAGUCAAGGGAGAUGUGAUAGAUGAGAAUCCCUGAACAAACCGGCGGAAAUAACCCGCCAAACCAAGAAAUCUUCGAAUCUCUAUAGCUGAGUACGGUUUGGGCCAAUUCUAAACCGCCUCUAUCUUCUUCGGAUCAACCUGAAUACCCUUGCUAGACACCACGUACCCCAAGAAAGCCACUAAACUAAGCCAAAACUCACACUUGGAGAACUUUGCAUAAAGUCUCUCCUCCCUCAAUCUCUGCAACACAACUCUCAAAUGCUCUGCAUGCUCCUCCUAACUACGCGAAUACACCAGAAUAUCAUCAAUGAAAACUAUGACAAACAAGUCGAUAUAGGGCCGAAACACGUUGUUCAUCAAAUGCAUGAACGCUGCUGGUGCAUUGGUUAGCCCAAAAGACAUCACCAAGAACUCAUAAUGACCAUAUCGGGUCCUGAAAGUUGUCUUAAGAAUAUCCGAGUCCCUGAUCUUCAACUAGUGAUAACCUAAACGGAGAUCAAUCUUGGAGAACACCCUCGCUCCCUAAAGUUGGUCAAAUAAAUCAUCAAUACGAGGCAGAGGAUACUUGUUAUCAAUUGUUACUUUGUUCAACUGCCUAUAAUCAAUGUACAUACUCAUAGUGCCAUCCUUCUUCUUCACAAAUAGAACAAGCGCACCCCAAGGCGACACACUAGGCCGAAUGAACCCCUUAUCAAGGAGUUCCUGAAGCUGCUCCUUUAACUCAUUCAACUCCAUUGGUGCCAUACGAUAAGGUGGAAUAGAAAUAGGUUGAGUGUCUGGCACCAGAUCAAUACCAAAAUCAAUAUCCCUGCCCGAUGGCAUGCCCGACAGGUCUGCAGGAAAUACAUCGGGAAAAUCUGUCACAACAGGAACAGAAUCAAUACUAGGAGCCUCUACACCGAAAUCCCUCACAAAGCCUAAAUACGAAAGACAACCCUUCCCAACCAUACGCUAGGCCUUUAAGAAUGAAAUUACCCUACUGGGAACAUAAUCAAUCGAACCUUGCCACUCAACCGUGGCACACCCGGCAUAGCCAAUGUCACUAUCUUAGCAUGAUAGUCCAAAAUAGCGCAACACAGAUAUAGCCAAUCCAUGCCCGAUAUAAUAUCGAAGUCUACCAUACAUAAUAAUAAAAGAUCCACUCGGGUAUCCAGACCCCUAAUAGUCACCACACAUGACUGGUACACAUGGUCUACAACAACAUUAUCGCCCAUCAGAGUAGAUACACGAAUAGAUGAAAUAAGAGACUCAUGGGGCAUAUCCAAAUAACGAGCAAAGUAUGAUGACACAUAAGAAUAAGUGGAACCGGGAUCAAAUAAUACAAAGACAUCUCUGUGUUAGACCGAGACAAUACCUGUGAUCACUAAAUCUGAAGUAAUGGCAUUGGGUCUAGCUAGGAAUGCAUAGAAACGGGCCUGACUGCCACCUGAUCGACCUCCCCCUCUAGGGAAACCCCUAGCUGACUGACCUCCACUCCUAGCUAGCUGAGUGGGUGGUGGUGAAGUAACUGGUGCUGAAGCCGAUGGCUGACUCCUUUGCUGAGAUGAACCCCCAAGACAACGAGGAUAGUGCCUCCACAUAUGACCCAUCUCUCCACACUCAUAGCAACUCCCGAGUGCUGGACACGGGGACUGAAGGGAACCCCUAGCACCUGAAUGAAUAACAGAUGCACCUGGCAUAGAAGAGCCAUGGACUGAUAGAGUAUGGGACGAACUCUGGGCUGGAAGGGCACUGAGUGAUGACUGGCCUUGAUGAGAACUGUGAGAACCAUGAUCACAUAACUCCCCACGAUAACCUGGGCGAGCUGACUGAGUAUGUCUGAAUGGACAGCCUCUGACGUGCUGAAGGUGACCUCUCGAAGGAGCACCACCAUAACUAUCAAAUCCCUGAGGCCUCUUGGCCUCCCUCUCAUCUUGCUCCCGGCGAUGAACUGACUCAAUCUCACGAGCAAUAUCAACAUCCUCCUCAAAGGUAGCACCAGACACCCUCUCCCUGGUCAUGAGAAUGCGAAGCUGAUAAGUGAGGCCAUCAACAAACCUCCUGAUCCUAUCUAUAUCUGUCGGAACCAACCGAACAACAUGACGAGCUAACUUUGAGAACCUCAUCUCAUACUGCGUCACCGUCAAAUCUCCCUGACGCAACCACUCGAACUGCCUGCGUAGCUCCUCUCUACGAGACUAUGGUACUUCUCUAAAAAGAGAAUGAAGAAUUGCUGCCAGGUAAGGGGUGCAGCACCAACAGGCCUACCCCUUCUCAUAAGUCCUCCACCAAGUAAAGGCAGCUCCAAAAAAUUAAAAAGUAGUAAAUUCGACCCCCGCUGGUCUCUAGAAUACCCNNNNNNNNNNNNNNNNNNNNNNNNNNNNNNNNNNNNNNNNNNNNNNNNNNNNNNNNNNNNNNNNNNNNNNNNNNNNNNNNNNNNNNNNNNNNNNNNNNNNNNNNNNNNNNNNNNNNNNNNNNNNNNNNNNNNNNNNNNNNNNNNNNNNNNNNNNNNNNNNAGGCUGAAGUCUACCAAACCUCUCCAACCUGCACUACUCGUCCUCUGGCAUAGCAGGAGCUACAUAGUCCUGAGCAGCUGCAACUGGCUGGGCUAUAUGUGCCCCCGGUGUCUGAAGUCCCUGCAUGACCUGCUCAGGUGUGCAAGCGGCAAAAGUCUGAGUGCCUCCUCCGGCCUGAGAAGUAGUUGCGGCUGUAGUAACUAAGAUCGCCUGAGUUAGGCCAGUGCAUAUUGAUAGAAUCUGAGCCAGGGCCUCUUGAAUACCUGGAAUCACAAUGGGCACAACUGGUGCCUGAGUUGGUGCUGCUGGAGCGUCCACAACUGGGACCUAAUCAUGAACUGGGUGGUAGGUGGAUCUGCAGGUGCUUCCCUAGCUGCUGUGCGGGCUACACCCCUUCCUCUACCACGGGCUUGACCGCAUCCUCGGCCUCUGGUGGCCACAGUUUGUGGUACUGGUGGUCGUCCGUCCAGACCGGUCGCUCGUGUCCUUACCAUCUGUGAGAGAAUAGAAUAACAAAAGUUUAGUACUCAGAUCAACAUAUUCGCACGACAAGAAUUUCAAGAAUAUGAAGUUUUUCCUAAAUGUUUUGAAUCCUCUCGAGGAUAAAUAUAGACGUCUCUGUACCGAUCCGCCAGACUCUACUAAACCUGCUCAUGACUCGUGAGACCUAUGUAACCUAGGCUUUGAUACCAACUUGUCACGACCCAAAACCGGACCCGGUCGUGAUGGCACCUAUCAUGAAACAAGGCCAGCCGACACAAACCCCCAAUACCAAUUAACUGUUAUUUAAUUCAAUUUAAGUCAUUAAUAAGCGAUAAAUCCCAAAAUAAAGUGAAAUAGAACAAGUGUGGAAAUAAACCCAGCCCAACAUCGGGGUGUCACCAGUCAUGAGCUUCUAACAUAAGUCUAAGAGUAUGGAAAAGGACUACGUAGUCUAUUAUAGAAUCCAGUACAAGGGAAAAUAAAGAUAGGAGGGAGAAACACUGUGCUGCGAACGCCGAGCAACUACCUAGUGAACUCCGAAUAUCCCACUAGAAGAAAUCAACCCUCGCUAGUAGGACCCGAGGCUCUUGUAUUUGCACGUAGGGUGCAUGGAGUAAUGUGAGUACGUCAACUUAGUGAGUAAUAAAAGUAAAGGCAGCUGAGCGAUAAGAAAAUACGUAAAACACAGCGAAAUACUAUAAAGAGGCAGUAUGAAAUCAGUACAAUGCAAUAGAACAGUGAAAACUUGUAAAAACACCUCAGUUCAGUAAAAACCUCUUUAAAACCUCUUUUAACAAUUAAACAAGUGUAUGAAAACCAGCAAGAAAAGAUAAACACAUAAAAUCAGCCCCUCAGGCACAAUAUCAAAAGAAAUUCGCCCCUUGGGCAAUAACAUGGAACAACAUCAGUCCCUCGGGUUAUAUCACAUAUCAUACUGGGUACCCGCGCUCACUGGGGGUGUACGGAUUCUGGGAGGGGCCCCUUACGGCCCAAGCGCAAUAACAAGCCAUCUCGUGGCAUAAUCAACAGUCUCUCGGUCUCAUAUCAAGCUACCUUGUGGCGUACAACUCAGGCCCUCGUCCUCAAAAUCAUGAAUCAGUAUAAUAGUGCUGCGGCACGUAGCCCAAUCCCAUAGUAUCCUCACAACACAGGCCCUCGGCCUUACUCAGUCAGAAUCUCACAAGCCACUCGGGUAAUAGUAAAACAUGAUGCUUAUCCCAAAAUAUCAUUUAAAAUAUCAAAAACGAGUAAAGAUGACUGAGUUGUGAAAAUAGUAGAAUAUAGCAUGAUUGAGUACAACUACGAAGCCAAAACAGUGAGGUAUAUUAGUAAAAAUCCCCUAAUGGUACAAACAGUUGGCACGAGACCCAAAUAUGACAUUCAACCCAAAAACAUGAUGAUAACAAACAGUUUUCAAUCAAAUAUGUAGUUAAACAGUCAUACGUGAUGGACUAAGUCACAAUCACAAUGGUGUACGACCCCACGCUCGUUAUCUAGCAUGUGUGUCACCUCAAAGUAGCACAACGAUGUGAAAUCCGGGGUUUCAAACCCUCAGGACAACAUUUAAAAUCAUUACUCACCUCUAUCCGGUCCAAACUCUAGCCCGCGAUGCAUUUGCCUCUCGAAUCAACCUCCGAAUAGUCCAAAUCUAACCAAAAUCAGAACAUAACCAUCAAAAUAUGCUAAGGGAACAAAGCCCACACGAAAGAAAUCAAAUUACAACACCAAUCUCGAAAUUAACCAAAACCCGACCUCCGGGCCCACGUCUCUAAAUCCAAUAAAAAUUACAUCAAUAAACUCCUUAUCCUCCCACGAGUUCAUCCAUAUCAAAAGUACAAAAAAUUGACCUCAAAUGACCCCUCAAACCCUUACUCAAAGAUCUCCAAUUACAAGCCUUAGUUCUUCAAUAUUUAGGCUUAAAUUCUACAAAUUUCAUGAUUAAUUAGGUAGAAAUCACAUUAGGAUUGUGUAUUAAGUCCACAAAUCUUACCUCCAAGUGUUCCCCUUUGAUUCCCUCUUCAAUCCUCUUCAAAAAGCUCUAAAAUUGCUCAAAAAUGGUGGAACUUAGGCUCAAAAUCGUGGAUAUGGCCUUUUAAAUCAUUCUGCCCAGCUAUUUAAAAACCUCCUUCGCAAAUGUGGUAAACGCCUUGCGUUCACGAAGCACAAACUUAUGUUGACCAGAAUUCCUCAUAGGCAAACGCGACGACCCCUCGCGAAUGCGAUGCCACAACAACUUAAACCAUCACGAACGCGUCUGCUCUCUCGAACCCGAAGCUUCCUCACUCCAACCCUUCGCGAAUGCAAGACCUACAUCACGAACAUGAAUUCCAAACUUACAGAAUCAACUCCUAACCCUUAACGAACGUGAGGGCUCACUCAUGAACACGAAGGCCAAAAGUCUGCAACACUCACAGCAGAAUUUCUGCAAUUUUUCUCAACUUGAAAUGAUUCGUUUAACCACCUGAAACUCACCUUAGGACCUCGGGACCUCAAUCAAACAUGAUAACAUAUCUCAUAAUAUCAUUCAACCUUGUUCUAACCUUCGGAACACUCAAAACAACAUCAAAAUACCAAAUUUGUAUCGGAUUCAAGCCUAAGAAUUCCAAAAACUUUCAAAUUCUGCUUUUGAUCAGAAAGUCUAUCAAACCACGUUUGAAUGACCUGACAUUAUGCACACACAUCCAAAAUGAUACAACGGAGCUACUAAAACUCCCGGAAUUCCAUUCUGAUCCCUAUGUCAAAAUCUCACCUACCAACCGGAAAACGCCAAAAUUUUAAUUUCGCCAAUUCAAGCCUAAAUCUACUCCGUACUUUCAAAAUACAUUCCGAUCAUGCUUUUAAGUCUCAAAUCACCUCCAGAAGCUAUCCGACCAUCGAAACUCAUAUCCAAGUCCUUUAUCACAUAAGUCAACAUACGGUUGACUUUUCCAACUUAAGCUUACUCAAAAGAGACUAAGUGUCUCAAACCUUACCAAAACGUCUCUAAACCCGAGCCAAUCAAUCCAAUAACAUAAAAUACAGCUGAACAAGGCAAUAAGAAGCAAAAAUGGGGGAAGCGGAAUGGUAACUAAUGAAACGACCGUCCGGGUUAGAGUUUUACGUGAAAAAAUCCCUACUCAAGGGGAUAAAAACCACGACCUACACUGGUAGGAUUUCAACUUCACUAUGAGCAACUUUUAGAUUACAACCUAUGCAAUUUAGGAAUUAAACUCUUAAUCCUUCACUAACUCGUAAUACACCUAUUACAAGCCACUUUGCAAUACACAUAUUACAAAGACUUCAACUCAUGAUUAACUCUAGUCACGACACAAACACACAGGGUUUAUAGUUUUACAAAGGGGUUCCUAAGUAACGCUUCUAGCUAAGCAGAUUAGGAAUUACAAUGAAGAACAAUUAUAAAGUUACAACUCAACUAAGGACAACAAAAUAGUAGAUUUAGGAACUGGUCCGUAGUAGCAUUUUACUUUGUUCUCGAGGGUCUUGAGAAUUAGAUUCAUGAUCUCUGAAGGCUUGAAUGCUUGAAGUGAAUUCUCAAGUAUUCAAGUGAUAUUUUGUUGUAAUACUCUUGUUAAUACAUCUUUGAUGAUAUCACUUGAAUGAUUUAAGCACUUGGUUGGUCAAAAGGACAAGUGACUGCAAAACUGCUGCACUGUGUGCACUGUUUCUGUGGCAAACACUUUCCAGAUGUGCACUGUUGACUUUCGUGCUGCUAUCAGGGAAACACAAGGGAUCAGGUCCCUAACUUUUUUCUCUAUUUUCUACACUUGUAUCAGUCACAUUAGCUGGAGUUUUGGCUGGAAUCCGUUCAUUAGCAAUGUGUACCAAGUGUGUCAGGUUCCCUAUCUGGUUCUUGACAAUAAGUUUGUUAGAUCAUCAAAAUAUAAGGCAAAGACAUUGAAAAUCCAUCAUUUACCUAAAGGAAAAAGGAUCAAUUCCCACUUAUUACUUUCUUUAUAAAAAUUCUAGAUCUGUCUCUGGCUUCGUGCAUAGUAUAAAUGCAGAGUUUACUUAAUACGGUUGUGAUCAUAAAAGUUGAGUCACUUAUUUGAUCUCUUCUAUUACACAAAACAUAAAUAGGAUUGAUAAAAGCGAUACAAACGUACUUCUUCUAAUUACAUGUGCAUAUACUAGCACAAUUAUACUACUUAUAGGAGUGCUUAGCAAUUGAUAAAUCUGUAGAUCUGAUAUUUUUAGACUUUGAAACAUUCUUCAAUUAGGCAAUAUGCUGCAAUGAUAAUGACAAUCAUUAGUAUAUGGCUGAUAAUGCCACCAACAAGUCCUGCAUAGUACUCCAUCUGAGCAAUCUGCAUCAGAACUGCAUUCUCUAUCACAAGUCCACUUAAAAAAGUCAUUUGGAAUUAAUGUCAUUUUUAUCAUUGAUAUAGAUAGCGGCAAGCCAGCUCCCUUUCCAUCGCUUUCAUCUCUGAGGUUUGAGUCAAAUCAACUGCAUAAUAUUUUGAUAUAACCAACGUCAAGUUUAAUUAUCAUAUAUACAUGUCUAUGUAAUACUCUUUUGUAAUAACAACAACAAACUCAAUGUAAUAUAACAAGUGAGAUGUGGGGGUUUGGGAGCAGUGAUGGAGACAGAAUUUCCAUAAAUUCGAAAUAUAAGUGAAAUAUUUGUACAUAAAUCCGAAAUAUAUGUACGGUCCCCUAAAUCUGCCCCUGUUGAGGAGGAUAGUAUGUACGUAUGGCUUACCCCUACCAUGUGAAGGUAGAGAGGCUAUUUCAGGUAGACUCUCGGCUAAAAAUAUUAAAAAAGAAAUAGCGACAACAACAAGAUACUAGAGAAAUAAAUUGGAUUUUGUCUUAUAUGCACGGUAUAAUUUUCCGACAGUAGGGGGUUCGGUGAACCCCCUUCUGGCCCCCUAAAUCCGUCCUUGCUAAGGAGGAUACUGUGUACGCAGGCUUACCGCUACCACGGUGAAGCUAGAGAGGCUGUUUCAGGUAGACUCUCGGCUUAAAGAAAAAUAAAAAAUAAGCGGUGACAACAAACAUUAACAACAAUAAGAUACUAAGAUAACUGAAGCAAAAUAAACAACAGUAAUAAAAAUCAAAGAAUAAGAUCUUUUCUAAUUAACAAGAACAAAAAAAGAGAGAGGAAAAAGAUGGAGAAGAGUAAGUCAUGGCAACAAUAAGGAGAAUGGAGAAGAAGAUACCAAAUCUAAGUAAAGAACUUUUUAUAGCCAUGGCAAUAAUGCUAUAAGCUUGAAGAUGUAGAGUAGAAGAGUAUGGUAAUUCCUUACUAGCUAAAACCAUAUUUAUAAGCAAAUUAUGAAUAUUAUAGGCUAGUGAUACUGAUAUUGACCUUUCACUUUAAUAUAUAAUAGUGGUUUAUACUUAAUAAUAUUAUAAAUUAAUUAAAGAUUUACCAAAUAUUUCUAAAGGAUGAAUAUAUGCUCUAUCGAUAAUUUUCUUUAUUAUUAUUUUUCUUAACUUGAUGUAGAGAUAUUUGACUGUCGUAUAUAAAAUUACUGUAUGUGUGAGGUGACGAGCAUAUACUCAAGAACUAGAGUAUAAUACUAGGCAGUAUUGUCGCUACUAGUCCGUGCAUGAUAUGGUAUACCCAUAUUUUCGCUAUAUUACAUGAUAUGUUACAUUGUGAUUGAUUUAAUGAAUGAGUUGUAGUUAAGAUUUGUUCUCUCAACAAGGGAUUGCCAGGUGUCAGUCACUGAACCUUGGAAUUUUGUAUCGUGACACGUGGAUUUCAAAGUAAUAUAGUUAAAUUAUACUAAUAUCCGUUUACCUCAUUUUACAAAGAACUAGAUUCUCUUUAAUUAAAUUAGUCUUGUCCUAGGACCAAAGAAUAGUAAAAAAAGAGAUUCUUUAAUGAUAAAUCAUCUAUCUAUCUGUGUAUAACUUCAUUUAUUACUCAAGGAAAUAACCUCAUUGCAAAUGAAAUCUUGAGUAUUGGAAUUUUGUUGUGAAAUUUUCCUUCGCUCUUAAUCAGAGAUUACAGAUUGGAAUAUUGAAAAUGAAGAAUUUCUCAGCAGAAAGUGUUUUAAUCUCUUUAAUGGGCGAAUAUGACCGAAUUGAUCAGUCGAACGAGUUAGUAAAUAUCGAAUAGUAGUACUAAAUAUCUAAAGAAAAAUAUGUUUUAAGUCAGAUAUUCAGAGUUAAUUAUACUUGUUGCUUCUUAUACUUACAUUGUAUAGUAUAUACCUAGGUAAAAAUAUAUAUUAUAUAGUAUAUAUAGAAGGUUCCAUGAUUUAUAUAGCUCUGGAUGUCUGAUUUAUAAUUAACUCUGCAAUUAACAUGUCAUUUAAAUCAGGUAUCCAGAAUUAAUUAUAAAUGACAUGAUUUAUUGCUUCUUUGGCUAAACUUUUGAAAAGCUAAAAACACUUUUUUCUUUUUUUCAGAAAAGCAAUUUUUUGAGAUUUGAGAUGUUUGAUAAAACAUAAAGAUUACAUGGUCAGUCAAUUAAAUGUAAGUCCAUAUUGGAGAUAACCAGUUCAUUAUUUUAAAGAUAACAUAAAAGAUAAUACAAAAGCGUUGAGAGACGCAACAGCAAUCCGGUAAAAAAAUUACCCCUACGCGAGGGAGUAAAGUAAAAGCGUUGAGAGAAUAACCUCAUAAUUUAUUCUAGAACAAAGUCCACUUAUACGAUAUGUUGUUCCUCUUUAAUACUUAGACAAAUAAAGAAAAGUUUAUUUACAUAUAGUCUUCCAAUAUUACACAAAACAUUGGACUCAGAGGCGAAUUUAGGAUUUUUAAUACGUGGGUGAAGGAAAAAGUGUAUAUUUAGCACUCUUAUUCUAAUAACACAUGCAAAAUGAGUAUUUAAAGUAGUACCUAAUUAUGUUAGCACUCUUUGAUUAUGCAUAUACAAGGAUCUAACUAAAGUAGUACUUAUCGAAAUACUAAUAAUAAUAUCAGCAAACGAACGUUCUCUGUGCUUCCAGCAUAUCACUCUUAGGUCUUAACUCAUGGGCCAUAUUCUUAAACUCCUCGCAAUGUUCUUUAGUUUGGUAACAUGCUACAAUGAUAAUCAUAUCGAUCGUAGUUCAACUGAUAAUGCCACCAACACCACCUGCAUAUCCAACCAUCAGAGCAUUCUGCAUGAGAACUGCAUUUUCUCCCACAAGUCUCCUCUUCAUUUGGAUUUAAUUUCAAUUUCAUCAUUGAUAUAGAUAGCGGCAAGCCUCCCAUCGCCAUCAUUGAGUUUCGAGACAAAUCAACUGUGCGCGUGCAUAAAAAUUUCGAUUAUAACCAACAUCAAGAUAAUUCUCAUAUAUAUACACAUUUCUAUGCAAUUUUUCUUAUGUAUAAAGCUAAAACCUAAAAGAACCACACACAAACAAAGGGAAAAGUNNN
RNAcentral lists this long non-coding RNA (20914 nucleotides) under Nicotiana tabacum (common tobacco). Its description in RNAcentral is "long non-coding RNA (NTAB_LNC009445)". The record is from RNAcentral. Lineage: Eukaryota; Viridiplantae; Streptophyta; Magnoliopsida; Solanales; Solanaceae.